Paramuricea clavata is the source of this 283-nucleotide non-coding RNA. NCBI's taxonomy places the organism in Eukaryota, Metazoa, Cnidaria, Anthozoa, Malacalcyonacea, Plexauridae. The record is from the annotation of a GenBank genome assembly.
UCACAGCUUGUCAGCGAGAUGUGUUCGUACUGCUUGUUCCCAGUUGCUGACAAGUCCGGAACAAGUUGUUAUCAUCUUGUUACAAGGUUGACGAGGCCAACAGACUCGCAACAAGUUGUUCCAACAAGUCUGAUAUCGUCUGCACGUAACAAGUUGAUGACAACAAGCUCGUAGCAACUUGUUACGAACACAGGCGUAUUAGUCUUGUUGGAACAACUUGUAGCAAGUCUGUUACCGUCAUCAACCUUGUAACAAGGUGGUAACAACUUGUUCCAGACUUGUC